This 751-nucleotide ribosomal RNA is filed under the name uncultured archaeon. RNAcentral describes it as "bacterial SSU rRNA". It matches the Rfam family "Archaeal small subunit ribosomal RNA", at positions 91 to 850 of the family's 1478-position model. The record is from RNAcentral.
CAGUAACACGUAGCUAACCUACCCUAAGACCGCUGAUAACCUCGGGAAACUGAGGCUAAGGGCGAUAGGAGAUUAUUUCUGGAAUGAGUAAUCUCUUAAACUUAGGAUGGGGCUGCGGCAGAUUAGGUUGUUGGCGGGGUAAUGGCCCACCAAGCCAAAGAUCUGUAAGGGCCUUUAGCGAGGGAGCCCUGAGAGGGAGUCUGAGACACCACUCCCAGCCCUACGGGGUGCAGCAGCUGGGGAUUUUUUGCAAUGCGCGCAAGCGUGACAAAGCGAGCCAGAGUGCUUUUCAUAUAAUUUGAACAGCUUUUGCCAGUUGUAAAAAGACUGGCGAAUAAGGACUGGGCAAGACCGGUGCCAGCCGCCGCGGUAAUCCCGGCAGUCCAAGUCGCAACCACUAUUACUGGGUCUAAGACAUCCGUAGCUCGCAAACGUAAGUCUCUUGUGAAAUCGGGCAUCUUAAGUGUCCGUCGGGCAAGAGAUACUGCUUUGCUAGAGACUGGGGGACGUGAGGAGUACGAUCGAGGUAGUGGUUAAAUACGUUAAUCUCGGUCGGACUAACAAUAGCGAAGGCACCUCACGAUUACAGUUCUGACAGUAAGGGAUGAAGGCUAGGGGCGCAAAAUGGAUUAGAUACCCAUGUAGUCCUAGCAGUAAACACUGCACACUAAACAUUGGCACCUCUUCGAGAGGUAUCAGUGCUGCAGCGAAGGCGAAAAGUGUGCUACCUGGGAAGUAUAGUCGCAAGGCC